Long non-coding RNA from Sebastes umbrosus (honeycomb rockfish), 151 nucleotides. RefSeq lists it as uncharacterized. The record is from RefSeq and is a predicted model, not a curated record. The transcript is spliced from 3 exons. Lineage: Eukaryota; Metazoa; Chordata; Actinopteri; Perciformes; Sebastidae.
AGCAAGAGAGAGUCACAGCUGUCAAUCAUGAAAUCUCAGCCCCUUUUUAUAUCAUCAAAUAACUAAUUUAUACCAAACUUAUCAGAAAAAUUAACACUUGAACUUACAUCAGCGUGAUAAGAACUACCUAAAAUUACAGAAACCAUCUUUG